UACGAGCUAGCCUCCGAAUGAACUCCU
This 27-nucleotide small RNA is filed under the name Bombyx mori (domestic silkworm). Its description in RNAcentral is "ovarian small RNA-20999". Lineage: Eukaryota; Metazoa; Arthropoda; Insecta; Lepidoptera; Bombycidae. The record is from RNAcentral.